GAAUUACCUUUAGACAGGAAGGUCUUGGUUAAACUACAUUAUUCUCUCUCUCUCUCUCUCUCUCUCUCUCUCUCUCUCUCAUUCUCCUCCUCCUCUUCUUCUUCAUACAACAUUGCUUUCUAAGAAUCCCGAAAAAUAAUUAUGCAGAUGUGGAACUGCAUUUUAAAAAUCAAAGAGGGCUAGUGAAAUGGCUCUGCAGGUAAAAGAUCUUGCUGUGCCAACCUGAUGACUCUGAGUUUUAGAAACUAUAGUAGAUGAAAAGAACCAACUCCAAAAGCUGUUCUCUGACCUCCAAGAACACACAGCGGUACAAACAUGCCUGCACACAUGAAUAUUUAAAAUGACAAAGACCUGUAAACAAGGGCCACUGAUUGGGAAAAAAAAGGAUUAGGGCACAAGGGCAGAUUCAUCUGAUGGCCCUUCUGGCCACCCCUAGAGACACUGGGCAGGCAGGUUAGGAAAGAACAAAGGCAUGGCAGUACACAAAUAAGGUUAUCAAAAGAACAGAAAGAAGUUUCAACUCAGGACAUGAGAUCAGUGGGAGAGCACUUGCCUCGCACAUGUAAAGCCCCAGAUCACACACACUCACACACUCACACACACACUCACACAUACACACACCCUACACUUAAUUACAUGAUAGAUGUACAGCUUACCUAUUGAACAAACACAAGUGAGAGGGUGUUAUCAAUUAAUUUGGUCACCUCACAGAAAUUAUUUUCCUUAAUCCCCUGGGCCACACGAGGAACACUACCAUACUCCUUCCAGGUUAAAAUUCAGGAAUCAGACAGGAUUUUUUAUAAAAUAUUUUAUAAAAAAUAAUUUAAAUGUCUGAAAGGACAGUCUAGGGUUCUGGAGAUCUGUCUGAUUCUAGUUGCUUUUUUCCCCUUCAUCUUUUAGGUUGUUUUGAAGUGCUCGUGCCUGGUUUCUGCUAGGCCAGCAUUCUAUCACCGAGCAACACCCCAUGCUCUCUGUGAUGGUUGACCUUCCUUUACACCUGCGUCUGAUAGAGCUGACACACACCAUCUGUUCAGUGCAGCCUAUGAGGUACGAGUCUUCCCAGGAGUGGGAAGAAAGCCCUGUGGGAAUCCAGCAUAUGGACAUACUGCUGCUUGGCACAUCUCUUUGACAACCACUCAUCUGGUUUGGUUGUAAUAGGAUUGUACUGCUAAAUGCUUUAUUGAAAAUCAUUUCCUUCUUUUGAAUAAUUCAUGCCGAACAGAGAAAAUUCAGAUCCUUGGUAAAAUAAUCCCAUGUUCUCAAGAAAGUGUACGUGUUGUGAGUGUUACACUCUAUUCUUCUAUGGAAAUAGAUGUGUUCUUAAGAACAGAUUGAGGUCAUUUGUCACCUGCAAAAGCAAAAAAACCAAGUUUGUUUGCUUUCUUUGUUUUCUUUCUACUUGAUAAUAAAGACCCAGAGCACCUUGAAGAUCAGUAAAAAAAAAAAAAAUUAUAAUUAUUUUUUAAAAAUGUCUUUGACAAGGCUGGCCAUCAGACAAGGCUGGCCUUAAAUUCAUGGUCCUCCUGCAGUUGAGUUAUAGGUGUAUACAACAGUCAACAAAUCAAAAAGUUUGUUUACUUAUUUUUUUUAAUUGUAUUUAUUUGCUGUGUGAGUGCCUGUAAGCAUGAAUGUGCACCAUAUGUGUGCCUGAUGCCUGAAAAAAACGUAAAAGGACACUGGACUCAUGGAGUUGGCAUUACAAAUGGUUGGGGGUAGCAGGCUGCUAGAAAUUGAACUUGGGUCCUCAGUGAGAGCCACAAGUGUU
This 1765-nucleotide long non-coding RNA is filed under the name Mus musculus (house mouse). Its description in RNAcentral is "long non-coding RNA chr11:76169362-76171127". Lineage: Eukaryota; Metazoa; Chordata; Mammalia; Rodentia; Muridae. The record is from RNAcentral.